This is a non-coding RNA of Burkholderia vietnamiensis G4, 111 nucleotides long. The record is from Rfam. NCBI's taxonomy places the organism in Bacteria, Pseudomonadati, Pseudomonadota, Betaproteobacteria, Burkholderiales, Burkholderiaceae.
AGUUCUGAUGCACCGCGAAACGAAUUUGCAGGUGGAGAACGAGGAGACAAUCGAGGCACAAAGUGCCCGGACCCCAAAGCGCUGUUGGACGGAAUCCAACAGCGCUUUUUC